UGGUUCUGGCAUCGAUGAAGAACGCAGCGAAAUGCGAUAAGUAAUGUGAAUUGCAGAAUUCAGUGAAUCAUCGAAUCUUUGAACGCACAUUGCGCCCGCCAGUAUUCUGGCGGGCAUGCCUGUUCGAGCGUCAUUUCAACCCUCGAGCCCGACUCUUUGGAGGACGGCCCGGCGUUGGGGACCGGCAGACUGCCCCGCACCUCCGGGUGUGGGACGCCGCCCCCGAAAUUUAGUGGCGGCCCUCUGAGGCGACCUCUGCGUAGUAACUCACCUCGCACUGGAAACAUUAGAGUGGCCACGCCGUAAAACACCCAACUUUUUUUCAGGUUGACCUCGAAUCAGGUAGGACUACCCGCUGA
This 359-nucleotide unclassified non-coding RNA is filed under the name uncultured fungus. Its description in RNAcentral is "partial contains 5.8S ribosomal RNA and internal transcribed spacer 2". The stretch from base 1 to 133 matches the Rfam family "5.8S ribosomal RNA", at positions 22 to 154 of the family's 154-position model. The record is from RNAcentral. Lineage: Eukaryota; Fungi.